RNAcentral lists this unclassified non-coding RNA (314 nucleotides) under plant metagenome. RNAcentral's name for it is "partial contains 5.8S ribosomal RNA, internal transcribed spacer 2, and large subunit ribosomal RNA". The stretch from base 1 to 105 matches the Rfam family "5.8S ribosomal RNA", at positions 50 to 154 of the family's 154-position model. The record is from RNAcentral.
GAAAUGCGAUAAUUAAUGUGAAUUGCAGAAUUCAGUGAAUCAUCGAGUCUUUGAACGCACAUUGCGCCCCCUGGUAUUCCGGGGGGCAUGCCUGUCCGAGCGUCAUUGCUGCCCUCAAGCACGGCUUGUGUGUUGGGCUUCCGUCCCUGGCAACGGGGACGGGCCCAAAAGGCAGUGGCGGCACCAUGUCUGGUCCUCGAGCGUAUGGGGCUUUGUCACCCGCUCCCGUAGGUCCAGCUGGCAGCUAGCCUCGCAACCAAUCUUUUUAACCAGGUUGACCUCGGAUCAGGUCAGAAUACCCGCUGAACUUAAGC